AAACGAUGGCUAAUACCGCAUAAUCUCUUCGGAGCAAAGAGGGGGACCUUCGGGCCUCUCGCGUCAAGAUUAGCCCAGGUGGGAUUAGCUAGUUGGUGAGGUAAUGGCUCACCAAGGCGACGAUCCCUAGCUGGUCUGAGAGGAUGAUCAGCCACACUGGAACUGAGACACGGUCCAGACUCCUACGGGAGGCAGCAGUGGGGAAUAUUGCACAAUGGGCGCAAGCCUGAUGCAGCCAUGCCGCGUGUGUGAAGAAGGCCUUCGGGUUGUAAAGCACUUUCAGUCGUGAGGAAGGUGGUGUAGUUAAUAGCUGCAUUAUUUGACGUUAGCGACAGAAGAAGCACCGGCUAACUCCGUGCCAGCAGCCGCGGUAAUACGGAGGGUGCGAGCGUUAAUCGGAAUUACUGGGCGUAAAGCGCAUGCAGGUGGUUUGUUAAGUCAGAUGUGAAAGCCCGGGGCUCAACCUCGGAACCGCAUUUGAAACUGGCAGGCUAGAGUACUGUAGAGGGGGGUAGAAUUUCAGGUGUAGCGGUGAAAUGCGUAGAGAUCUGAAGGAAUACCGGUGGCGAAGGCGGCCCCCUGGACAGAUACUGACACUCAGAUGCGAAAGCGUGGGGAGCAAACAGGAUUAGAUACCCUGGUAGUCCACGCCGUAAACGAUGUCUACUUGGAGGUUGUGGCCUUGAGCCGUGGCUUUCGGAGCUAACGCGUUAAGUAGACCGCCUGGGGAGUACGGUCGCAAGAUUAAAACUCAAAUGAAUUGACGGGGGCCCGCACAAGCGGUGGA
This 787-nucleotide ribosomal RNA is filed under the name Vibrio sp. VBR6. RNAcentral describes it as "bacterial SSU rRNA". It matches the Rfam family "Bacterial small subunit ribosomal RNA", at positions 154 to 936 of the family's 1533-position model. Lineage: Bacteria; Pseudomonadati; Pseudomonadota; Gammaproteobacteria; Vibrionales; Vibrionaceae. The record is from RNAcentral.